GUACCUGCUACCUACCCUUCUCAAACUCAGACCACUUCACUCCAUCAUGUAACCGCACGAAGUUCAAGACUUUUAUAGAUUUCUCUGCCUUUUUUUGUGUGUCAGUGUUGUCUGCUUUUACUUCACACUUUCUCACACUCACUUUUAUUUCUUUCAUCUUCUCACUCUUCUGCUGUUCUGCUCUCAUGCUCAACUACUGCAUUUCCAGCAACAUUAUUACCUCAUCUGUUUUUCCCUCACUCAUGCUGGAAUCUGGAUUCUAGAAAUUAGAUUCUCUCUUGGGACUUGCUUUCUUCUCUCUUUGAUGCUCAAAUAGUACAACAUCUGAAAAUGAACAGAAAAAGGAAGCGGGAUCCGUUGAAGAAUCCAUUCAAUUCUAACCCAUUUGAAGCAGUUGUUUCUGGCUCAUGGCAAGCUGUGGAGUACAUGAAAAUUGGGUUGGGAACUGCAUCCUUGCAUUUCAUGGACAAUCACCAUGUGGAGAUGAUGGACAAAGGCCCUUUAGCAGAUGUUCGAGUAAGGUCGAGGAGAGCUACUUUAUCAGAUUGCUCCAGUUUUUUGCGUCCUGGGAUCGACAUAUGUGUGCUAUCAACCCCUCAAAGUAAAAAAGAUUCAGAUGAACUUAAUCUCAAGCCUGUUUGGCUUGAUGCUCAAAUAAGUUCUAUACAGAGAAAGCCCCAUGACUCUGAGUGCAAGUGUCAGUUUUAUGUCAGAUACUAUGUUAAUCAAGGUUCACUUGGCGCGGAGCUGAGAACUAUUCGUAAGGAGACUAAAAUGGUUGGACUCAAUCAAAUCUCCAUCCUCCAAAGACUUGAACACAGUCCUUGUGAAAAUGUGCACUAUCGGUGGGGUUCAUCUGAGGACUGCGCUUCAAUACCGCACACUAAAAUGCUCUUGGGAAAAUUUUUAACGGAUCUUUCAUGGUUAGUUAUUGCAUCUGUUGUGAGGAAGGUUUCAUUCUGUGCUAGAUCUGUUGAAAACAAGCUUGUCUAUCAAAUUCUGGAAAGUGAUAAUAUUAGUACUUCAUUGAACACUGAGCCUCAUAUAAGUGUUCUGAAUUUCAAAGUAGACGAUGGCGGCGUGGUAGUGUCCGUUGUUUCUCAAGUUACCAUAACUAACUCCAAGAGAGCUGAGUCUGACCAUGAACAUGAACAUGAACCCGGUAAAGAUAAAGCGGUGUCACCAUCUUAUAAUGUUGAUGGCUUACGACGUUCGAAACGCCGGAAUGUACAACCUGAGCGUUACCUCGGUUGCAAUGUUACACAGAUAGAUGUUGGUUGUUUUAGAAGCCAGCCACCAGUUAAGUUGCAAACAUGGAAAGAUGAUAAAGAUGAUGAAAUGUCAUUGCCAUUAUCACGCCUGUUUGGUGUGCCGCAAAUCUGUCCAGAAGGGGACAUGAAAUGGGGACAGAGGAUUUCGGUCCGUCCAGAAGAGGAUGCUAACAGAUGUAAAAAGCCCUGGAAAUUCAACACGGUGAAUAAUACCGUCAAGGAGCUUAAAGUGUACAAUAGGAGGGCUAAAACCGGCAAGGGGAAGCUAGGUGAUGCCAAUAAAAAUGAACAGCAACCUCAACUUGCUAUUGUUCCUCUUCCUGAUCAAGAUGAACCUAUAGCCGUUGAUCUUAGUGAUCUCAAAGACAAGGUUACUAGAAGUGAUGAACAUGACUUUGCUGAAAUUCCUUCCCAAUAUCAUCAUCUGAUUAAUAGCCCUCGACCAAAGAAAAACAGCCUUCACUUGUUGGCUUCUGAGCCUCAGAAUGUGCCUGCAAAGUCAGAAUAUGCAGAAAAGAGUGAGGAUGUUCCUUUGAGGCAUCAUUAUAGUUACAGCACCUCCAAGCUACACAAGAAGAGUUUAUGUGAUGCGGAUGAUAUAGACCUUGGAACUAAAUGGGCAGGAAUAAAUUCCAGUAAAGGGUCUCAAGCGAGAAAACAUCGUCCUACGCAUUUAAGAAGUAGAAAUCAGGACAGUGAAAGAAGUUAUUAUAAAGACAGAACCUUAAAUGCAGCUGCCUACAAGGACUUGAUAAAUUCAUACUUAAAGAAUAUGAAUACAAGACCAGACGAAGAAGAAACACCUCUUACCGACCAGUGGAAGCAGCAUAGCAACACAACAAGCAACUUUGAAGAAGACGAAGCAGCAAAGACAUCGCCCGCAGAGGAUGCAGAGGAAAUAUCUGAAUUGGAUAUGUUGUGGAGAGAAAUGGAAGUGUCAUUGGCAUCAUGCUAUCUUGAGGAGACAGAGGGUUCAAAUGCAACCAUUUUGCCUCCUACGGAAGAAAAACCGAAGAUAGUUUGCGAGCAUGAUUUUAGAUUGGAUGAGCAAAUUGGAUUGUACUGCCAUAGAUGUGGCUUUGUGAAAAAUGAAAUCAGAUAUAUUUUUCCGUCCUUUGUUGAACAUUCUAGGUGGUACCGUGAAGAGAAGCAGCAUGCUGCAGAAGAUCCAGAGCCCAAUGCUGAUGAGGAUGAUGAUUUCCAACUUUUCUCCAAUCUUGCUUCUUCUGAUGAACCUAUAUCUGAAGAAAAUGACAAUGUUUGGUCAUUGAUUCCAGAACUCCGGAAAAAGUUGCAUGUCCACCAAAAGAAAGCUUUUGAGUUUCUUUGGCGAAAUAUUGCAGGGUCUACAAAUCCAACAAUUAUGGAAGAAGCAUCUAAAAAAAGAGGUGGUUGUGUGAUAUCUCAUACUCCUGGAGCUGGAAAAACUUUUCUCAUUAUUGCUUUUCUUGUGAGCUACUUAAAGUUAUUCCCAGGGAAGAGACCUCUAGUCCUUGCUCCAAAGACAACACUCUAUACUUGGUACAAAGAAUUUAUCAAGUGGGAGAUUCCGUUACCGGUGUAUCUGAUUCACGGUCGUAGAACCUACCGCGUGUUCAAUCAGAAAAAAGAUAUGGUUUUUCCUGGAAUUCCAAAGCCCACAGAGGAUGUCAAGCAUGUUUUGGAUUGUUUGGAGAAGAUUCAAAAAUGGCAUUCCCAACCAAGUGUUCUCAUCAUGGGUUAUACAUCAUUUUUAACAUUGAUGCGAGAGGAUUCAAAGUUUGCGCACAGAAGGUAUAUGGCCAAGGUAUUGAGGGAAAGUCCUGGGCUCCUGGUACUAGAUGAAGGGCACAAUCCUAGAAGCACUAAAUCAAGGUUGAGAAAAUGUUUGAUGAAAGUACAGACAGAAUUGAGAAUAUUACUUUCAGGUACAUUGUUUCAGAACAAUUUUUGUGAAUAUUUUAACACUCUCUGCUUAGCAAGACCAAAGUUUCCUCAAGAAGUACUGAAAGCAUUGGACCGAAAGUACAAGAAAAAAAAGAAAUUAGGAACAGAAAAAGCGCGUUAUUUAACAGAGUCACGGGCUAGAAAGAUAUUCCUAGAUGAAAUUGCUAAGAAGAUUGACUCAAAUGUUGGUGAGGAGAGGAUGCAAGGUCUAAACAUGUUGAGAAAUGUGACAAAUGGUUUCAUAGAUAAUUAUGAAGGUGCGAGUUCGGAUGGUCUACCCGGUUUACAAAUUUACACAUUGCUAAUGAACACAACUGAUGUGCAGCAUGAGAUUUUGCAUACACUACACAAGAAAAUGGCUGAGUGCAGCGGAUACCCUCUGGAGUUAGAGCUUUUGAUAACUCUUGGAUCAAUCCAUCCUUGGUUGAUCAAAACAGCUGUCUGUGCUGAAAAGUUCUUUUCUCGGGAGCGAUUGCGGGAGCUUGAUAAAUGCAAGUUUGAUUUAAAAAUAGGGUCAAAGGUGAAAUUUGUUUUGAGCCUUAUUUACCGCGUUGUCAAGACAGAGAAGGUUCUUAUCUUUUGCCACAACAUUGCACCUGUGAAAUUGUUCAUAGAAUAUUUUGAGAAGUACUUUGGAUGGCAAAAGGGCCGUGAAGUUUUGGCACUAACCGGGGAGCUUGAGCUCUUUGAAAGAGGUAGAAUAAUGGAUAAGUUUGAGGAGCCUGGUGGAGCAUCAAAGAUACUCCUUGCUUCAAUUACAGCUUGUGCUGAAGGCAUUAGUUUGACAGCGGCUUCACGCGUGAUUAUGUUGGACUCGGAGUGGAAUCCGUCGAAAACAAAGCAGGCUAUUGCGCGCGCCUUUCGUCCGGGCCAGCAGAAAGUGGUGUAUGUGUAUCAACUCUUGGUGACAGGCUCAUUGGAGGAAGAUAAGUACCGAAGAACCACUUGGAAAGAGUGGGUUUCAAGCAUGAUUUUCAGUGAGGCCUUUGUGGAGGACCCUUCUAAGUGGCAAGCUCAGAAGAUUGAAGAUGAGACACUGAGGGAAAUGGUUGGAGAGGACCGGUCUAAAUCAUUCCAUAUGAUAAUGAAGACCGAGAAAACUACAACAAACAAAUGAAAGUCACAAAUAAAAAGGCUACUCUAAUCUUGGAAUAGAAGUGAUUCCUAAAAAAGGGACCAGCCGAGGCUAAACAUUGCCGCAAGAGCAUCACUAAGGGAACCAAGCCUGCUAUUAGCAUGUUUGGAAAUCCUUCUACAAUUGAUUCUAAAGUCAAAAUUAAUUAUGGGGAGAAGCUUCUAUGAGUAGUUUUUGUGUCUAGUUUCUGUGUGAUAGUUCUGUUUAUUUCCUACUUAACAAGCUAGUGGACUUAUUUAUGUAGACUCUAGUUUUUGCAAUUGUGGAACACUUUCGAUGUUUGUGUUUCAAUUAGGUACUCUGGAUGUUCACCUUGGUUAGGUAGUUAGCAUGGUGAAGGAUCAAAAUUCUAACAUCAUGGUCACCCCUGGUCCUAAACAUCGGGCUGGUGCUAAUUGAGUUAAUAAAAACUAUUGGCAAGUUCUCAAUA
Lotus japonicus is the source of this 4762-nucleotide RNA transcript. It is a transcript of the gene named SNF2 domain-containing protein CLASSY 2-like, with no coding region annotated. NCBI's taxonomy places the organism in Eukaryota, Viridiplantae, Streptophyta, Magnoliopsida, Fabales, Fabaceae. The record is from RefSeq and is a predicted model, not a curated record. The transcript has 8 exons.